GAUCAUGGCUCAGGCUCUUGUACACACCGAGCCCUAGAGUUUGAUCGUGGCUCAGGUGAGUGUACACUGGGAAACUGGGUGUUGGAGGGGGGAACUACUGGAAACGGUAGCUAAUACCGCAUAACGUCGCAAGACCAAAGAGGGGGACCUUCGGGCCUCUUGCCAUCAGAUGUGCCCAGAUGGGAUUAGCUAGUAGGUGGGGUAACGGCUCACCUAGGCGACGAUCCCUAGCUGGUCUGAGAGGAUGACCAGCCACACUGGAACUGAGACACGGUCCAGACUCCUACGGGAGGCAGCAGUGGGGAAUAUUGCACAAUGGGCGCAAGCCUGAUGCAGCCAUGCCGCGUGUAUGAAGAAGGCCUUCGGGUUGUAAAGUACUUUCAGCGGGGAGGAAGGUGUUGAGGUUAAUAACCUCAGCAAUUGACGUUACCCGCAGAAGAAGCACCGGCUAACUCCGUGCCAGC
Molecule: ribosomal RNA, 464 nt
Filed under: Enterobacter ludwigii
Lineage: Bacteria; Pseudomonadati; Pseudomonadota; Gammaproteobacteria; Enterobacterales; Enterobacteriaceae
Description: bacterial SSU rRNA
Rfam family: Bacterial small subunit ribosomal RNA
Source: RNAcentral